UCCCAGAGUGCUAGGAUUACAGGUAUGAGCCACCGCGCCUGGCCGAUACCUUUUUUUUUUUAAUUCUCCUAGUGGAAUUGGAAGGAUCACAUUGUCAUCACUACUGUUAUUUCAUUAUUAACUCCCCCACCCACAGGUCCAGGAAGGGAAGACUGUGUUGGCAGGAAUUCAGAUAAAAAAGACCCAAGGUUUAGGCUGAUCUCAAAUUAGUGUGAGGCUCUAGUGUCACGGUGAAGUCUGUGACACUUAGAAAAGAAGACAGUGAUCCCUGGAGCCAACAUGGGUUCACCAAGACCAAGCACACCUUUUAGGUUCUCAACAGCUGGUGGAUAAAGAAAAUGAGCCAGCAGGGGGUGGAGAGGAAUCUGGUAUUUACUGAGCACCUACUGUGUGCUGGGCACAUCACACACAUGGCCUCACUUAAUCCACACAGGUUUGUGUUCCAGAUGUGACGAUCUCCAUUUUACGGAUGAGAAACUGAGUCUCUGGGAAGUUAAGUGACUUGCCCAAGAUCAGCUGAGCUGGGAUUCAAACCUGGAUCUGUCUGACCCUUUCUGCCAUGUCACACUGCCUCCUAAGACAUUAGACAGAGUCCCUCAGGACUCUUGAGGACGUGAGGGAUGGCCGUGAGGGCACAGCGGGGGCUCCCAUCUGGCUGAAUGACAGCCAUGGAAUAUUCUUAAAAUGCAACCAGGUCAGUCUUCGGAAGGUCUUUAGAGACCUUCCACCUGUUCUGAGCAAUCUGUGCCAAGGACCCAGAAGAGGACAUGGUGGGGACAGGCCUGGAACAGUAGGAGAUGGUAGAAAGCUCCAAGGGACAGAGAAAAGUUCAGAUAGCAGAAUCAGGUUUUAGAAAGAUUUCAACAGGUUGGAGUGACAAGGUGAAUUUAGCAUGAUGAACCAUCACAGGGAUAAAUGCUGGGGCCCAUCUUGACUACAGGAAAAAAUUGUGGAGGGGAACAGCAGCUCAUGAGAAAGAGAUUUAGGAGCUCCCGUGCCAGUGAGUUCAGAAUGCCUCGGCAGGCACAUUAAUAGAGGUGUGGCAUUUGGGAGGAGGGGGCCCACCCUCCAGCUUCAGUUUACUCUGUGCCCUGGGGCAGUUUCUGUUGUACUUGGUUGAAGAUCAGGUGCUAUUUUCUGUUUUUCAGUUUUCCCCCUUUCCUUUUGGGUUCUUAGGGGAGACAGAACCCUUCUGGAGUUUGACCCUUGGGUUCCAUGCAGAGCAGCCCCCAGAAUGACACUUUGGAAGGUGGGGAAGAGGCUGCAGAUUUUCUGAGCUUUUGUUUGAACAGCACAUGUUGGAUUUGAUCUUUAUGUGCACCUACCCUCAUUCAAGGGAGAGGAAAGUGUUGGUCCCUGAAUGUUCUGGACCUGGGAGGGGUCCUGGUCCCCUGGCACCGGCCAGGUGUAUCCGCCCGUUUUCCAGCUCUCUCCUUUCCUGCUUAUGGCCCGUCCUGGUGGUCAGUGACGGGUGGUGUCGGGGCCUGGCUGGGCUGGAGGCGGAGCAGGAGCAGGGAACCUUGCUCUGCUCACGUGGGGUCUGGAUCCCUGCUCGAGCUGGGGCGUCACCUGCCAAGCUGAAUCCGGCGCAGGAAGCGCCUGGCUGGGAGACGCGCUGUUUGAUUUGGAGGCUCUGUUCCACUCCGAAAUGCGCUUCUCCUGGCAGCUGCAAGGAAGUGAAGCUGUUGAGCUUCCCUCUCUUAUGCCAGAAUCACAGCCACUUUUUCCUGAGAAAGAAACAGGGCUGCAGACAGUUUUACUCAUUAAAUACUUUUUUUCCUCUUAAAUCUGUUUUUGUAAUUUUUUUUUUUUUUGCAGGAACGGAAAAGUAAAACGGAUGAUAUUGAAAUAAACAAGGCAUUUGUGAUGGGAAGGUUAAAGCAGAUUGUUGGGGGUGGGGAGGGGGCUGGAAACGCCCCACGUUCCUGCAUGCAGGCUGCUCAUAGCCUGUCGAGGACGGGAGCGAGAGAACGUGUUCGUGAGGCUGCCCAGCUCCCAGCCCAGAGGGGUCCACUUCUCCAGGUGUCUUGAGCUUCACUGAGAAGGGCGGUGGGGAAGGGAGCUGCCAUUUAUUAAGAGCCUACUAAGUGCUAGGCCUGUGAGCUCAUUUCAUCCUGCUAACAACCCUGGGUGGUAGAGCCCAUUUUACAGAUAAGGAAAGCAGAGGCUCGGAUGGAUUAAGGUCAGCAAUCAAUGACGUACAGAGCUAAGACUGGAACCUCGAUCCGUCUGACCUCAGAUGCCAUGCUCUUGCGGCUAUACUUUGUUCCCCCGAGCAGCUGUGUACCAAGCCAGGGGAUGUGGAAGGAGAAGGAGGAGCAAGACGGUGGUGAAGAGGCAUCAGCCAGCCCUGCAGAACGGGCAUCCUGCCUGGCGAGACUGAACAAGACACUGACCGCAUGCAUCUGGUGACUAGCAACAGUAACCUGAGAAUAUAGCCACCAUAUGGAGGUGGGAAAAACCUAGAAACAUCCCAGAAAAAUGGAGUUCCAGCCCCGAUCAAACUGUGCCUGAUGUCUGUUGCAUCUGGAGUAUUCGAGAUGGAGUCUUGUUAUGUUGCCCAGGCUGGAGUGCACU
This is a long non-coding RNA of Microcebus murinus (gray mouse lemur), 2577 nucleotides long. RefSeq lists it as uncharacterized. The record is from RefSeq and is a predicted model, not a curated record. Lineage: Eukaryota; Metazoa; Chordata; Mammalia; Primates; Cheirogaleidae.